GGGUCAAUGAUGAGAACUCUUCCUGCCCUGAAGGAGAUGAUAGCUUAAAACUCAUGCUCAAUUCGAUUACGCUGAGGCCC
This is a small nucleolar RNA of Phyllostomus discolor (pale spear-nosed bat), 80 nucleotides long. RefSeq annotates it as small nucleolar RNA SNORD115. The transcript has a single exon. NCBI's taxonomy places the organism in Eukaryota, Metazoa, Chordata, Mammalia, Chiroptera, Phyllostomidae. The record is from RefSeq and is a predicted model, not a curated record.